CCUACGGGAGGCAGCAGUAGGGAAUGUUGCGCAAUGGGCGAAAGCCUGACGCAGCAACGCCGCGUGAACGAGACGGACUUCGGGGUGUAAAGUUCUGUCAGUGGGGACGAAAGAUGACGGUACCCACAGAGGAAGCACCGGCUAACUCCGUGCCAGCAGCCGCGGCAAUACGGAGGGUGCAAGCGUUGUCCGGAAUCAUUGGGCGUAAAGAGUUCGUAGGCGGUAUGUUAAGUCUGGUGUUAAAUGCAGAAGCUCAACUUCUGUUCGGCACUGGAUACUGGCAAACUAGAAUGCGGUAGGCGGAAUGUAUGGUGUAGCGGUGAAAUGCUUAGAGAUCAUACAGAACACCGAUUGCGAAGGCAGCUUACCAAGCUACUUCUGACGUUGAGGCACGAAAGCGUGGGGAGCAAACAGGAUUAGAUACCCGAGUAGUC
This 434-nucleotide ribosomal RNA is filed under the name uncultured bacterium. Its description in RNAcentral is "partial 16S ribosomal RNA". It matches the Rfam family "Bacterial small subunit ribosomal RNA", at positions 338 to 795 of the family's 1533-position model. The record is from RNAcentral.